This is a non-coding RNA of Callithrix jacchus (white-tufted-ear marmoset), 3299 nucleotides long. The record is from RefSeq and is a predicted model, not a curated record. Lineage: Eukaryota; Metazoa; Chordata; Mammalia; Primates; Cebidae.
AUGUCUCCAGCGGCUGCAGCGGCUGCAGCAGGGGAGCGCGGCGGCCCAUAGAGAGUGUUAGGGAUGGCCAGGGCCGGGCCUGCGGUGGGCCGGCAGGGGCGGCGCUCCUCGGCCUGUCGCUGGUCGGCCUCGUGCUGUACCUUGUGCCAGCUGCGGCUGCGCUGGCCUAGCUGGCCGUGGGGGCUCCCGCGGCCUGGUGGGGACUGAGCCGCGAGCCCCGGAGGUUCGCGCCCCUUGUCCUCCUUUGUUCGGCACGCACGACAUCGGCGAACAUUGUUCGCUUCGCCUACGGCCAAGUCGGCAGCCGACGGAAAUCUCCUAGAGCCAGCAGACACUGCUCGAAGGACCCGACCCUGCCGAACUGCUACUCAUGGGCAGUUACCUGGGCAAGCCCGGGCCGCCACAGCCCCCCUCCCCCGACCCGGCGCUCCGGAGUGCCAGGACUUGCAGCAGAGGCCUGGCAGCCGCCCACCCGCCUGCUCUGCGCUGCGCUCCCCGCCGACCCAUCGCAUUCACCACGUUUACCCCUCUCUCCCCACUCCUCUUCUCCGACCCUCCAGUAGGCCUUCCCAACGGGAUUGUGGGACUUCACCAAAUCGGUUUAUAGUAACGCCUUGAAGACGCUAUCCGAUCCAUGAGGCCCAAUAUUUCUGUCUGGGGGUACUUCCCACAGUGUGCUGGAAUGGUUAUCACAAGAAGGCUGUGCUGUCCCCUUCUUGUGCUACGCAACUCCAGGAUGGUGUGUAGCCCGGUGACUGUGAGGAUCGCCCCUCCUGACAGAAGGUUUUCGAGGUCUGCGAUACCAGAGCAGAUAAUCAGCUCAACACUCUCCUCACCGUCAAGUAAUGUCCCAGACCCAUGUGCAAAGGAGACUGUACUGAGUGCCCUCAAAGAGAAGAAGAAAAGGACAGUGGAGGAAGAAGAUCAAAUAUUCCUUGAUGGCCAGGAAAAUAAAAGAAGGCGCCAUGAUAGCAGUGGCAGUGGACAUUCAGCAUUUGAGCUCCUGGUGGCCAAUGGAGCUCCCGCUUCUUUUGUGCCUAAGCCUGGGUCUCUGAAGAGACGCCUCAAUUCUCAGAGCUCAGAGGACCACUUGAAUUAGAGAUCCCGAACCUCUUCCAUGAGCUCCUUGACAAGCGCUUACACAAGUGGCACCCCUAGCUCCAGCUGCAAUGCCAUUACCAGUUCCUACAGCUCCACUCGAGGCAUCUCACAGCUCUGGAAGAGAAGUGGUCCUAGUUCAUCACCCUUCUCUAGCCCAGCCUCGUCCCGCUCCCAGACACCGGAGAGACCAGCAAAGAAAAUCAGAGAAGAAGAAGUGUGUCAUCAUUCCAGUUCUUCAACCCCACUGGCUACAGACAAGGAGUCCCAGGGAGAAAGGGUUGCAGAUACAGCCCCAUGGAAGAAACAAAACUCACGAAUUCUCCGUCUAUACCUGGCAGCUCUGGGCAGCCUAAGCGGAAAAUUCAGCUGCUGCCUUCUCGGCGAGGAGAACAGCUGACCUUGCCUCCACCUCCCCAGCUUGGCUAUUCGAUCACUGCCGGGGACCUAGACUUAGAGAAAAAGACUUCAUUACAGUGGUUCAAUGAGGCCUUGGAGGAUAAGACCAAUGCUGCCUCGAACUCUGUCACUGAGACCCCACCUACCACUCAGCCUUCAUUUACCUUUACCCUGCCUGCUGCUGCACCUGCCUCCCCGCUGACCUCCCUCCCGGCCCCAAGCACCAACCCACUGUUAGACAGCUUGAAGAAGAUGCAGAGUCCCCUGAGACUGCCGCCCUGCCCAGAAUCUCCUGGAGCAGCAACCACUGAGGCCCCGUCGCCUCCAAAGACGCCCAGCCUCCUGCCAUCACUGGGCUUCUCACAGUCAGGGCCACCAGGGCCCCUCCCCGGCCCCUCCUCAGACUCCAAGCCUCCCACCACUUUGCUGGGGCUGAUGCCUGCUUCAUCCACAGUACCAGCCACUGACACCAAGUCACCUCCAACCCUUCAGGCAGACAUGGCUGCCAAACCCCAAGCCACAUCUGCCCCACCCCCUGACCCCAAACAGAGCUUCCUGUUUGGAACACAGAGCACCUCACUUUCCAGUCCUGCUGCCCCUGCCGAGUCCUCAGCAUCUCCCAUGUUCAAGCCCAUUUUCAUGGCCCCACCUAAGAGUGAGAAGGCCGGCCCCACACCGCCUGGCCCUUCAGUCCCAGCCACAGCACCUUCCAGCUCCUCCCUCCCUCCAACCACCGCCAGCACAGCCCCGACUUUCCAGCCCGUGUUUAGCAGCAUGGGGCCGCCUGCAUCUGCGCCCUUGCCUGCUCCCUUAUUCAAGCAGACAACUCCCGCCACUGCUUCCACCACAACUGCCCCAUUUUUCACCUGCCUGGCCACCACCGCCUCUGCUGUGGCUACCAUCUCCACAGCCAGUCCAUCCGCAGACUCUGCUUCGAAGCCUGCGUUUGGCUUUGGUGUAAACAGUGUGAGCAGCAGCGUGAGCACCACGACCAGCACCGCCACUGCCACCUCACAGCCUUUCCUCUUCGGGGCGCCCCUGGAGCUUCACCCCUGUCAUGGGCUCCAUAUUCCAGUUUGGCAAGCCGCCUGCCCUGCCCACCACCACCACAGUCACCACCUUUCACCCAGUCCCUGCCCACUGCCGCACCGACGGCCACCAGCAGCAGCGCCGCCGGCUUUAGUGGUUUCGGCAGCAGCCUCAGCACCUCCGCCCCGGCCACCAGCAGCCAGCCCACACUGACAUUCAGUAACACGAGCACCUCCACAUUCAACAUUCUCUUUGGCUCAAGCACCAAGUCCCCGCUCCCAUCAUAUCCAGGAGCCAACCCCCAGCCCGCAUUUGGGGCCGCCGAGGGGCAGCUACCGGGAGCCACCAAGCCAGCCCUUGCCCCCAGCUUUGGCAGCUCUUUCACUUUUGGGAACUAUGCAGCCCCAGCCCGGGCUGCUGCACCCACACCUGCACCUGCGUCCACGAUCAUGAUCGUGCCCGCGCAUGUGCCCACACCCCUCCAACCUGCCUUUGGCAGUGCCACACAGUCGGCGUUUGGGUUGAAAGCCGCGGCUUCAGCCUUUGGCGCCCCCGCCAACUCACAGCCCACCUUUGGCGGCACCACUGCUAUCUUCUUUGGUGCAGCCACCAGCUCUGGCUUUGGAGCCACCACCCAGACCGCCAGCAGUGGGAGCAGCAGCUCAGUGUUCGGCAGCACGACACCAUCACCCUUCACAUUUGGGGGUUCAGAGGCCCCCGCUAGCAGCGGGGGCUUUGGGAUCAAUGUUUUUCCUCAUCAAAAUGCCUCUUAA